NNNNNNNNNNNNNNNNNNNNNNNNNNNNNNNNNNNNNNNNNNNNNNNNNNNNNNNGUGUUCUGGCUGAGCACGAGCACCGGACGAUGGCCCAUCAUGGCGGCGCGAUGCAGAGCCCGGUACCCAGCGCUGGGGCGACCGGCAGAACCUUCUGGAGAGAGAGAAGCAGAGAGAAGCUGAUCUAAUUUUUUUAAGUAUUCACCGAUUUCCCUUCCUGAAGUUUUUCCUCUGGGACUUGCCACCUUCCACAUGUGGUUGAGAUCUGAGGUUGCCUACCUACAAAAGACUUCAGCUCCAGGCUUAACAAAUGGGACAUCAAAGAAGCAUUUUAUAAAGAUCUUUUUCCAGGUUGGUAUUCUUUAAUGGUGAAGCUCCUACUGUAAAUAUUCCAGGCCAUUUGGAAUUUUUUUAUUUGUUUGAUGGGGUUGUGGUUUUAGUUUUGGUGGCAUUUUUUUAAUUGGGAUUUUUUUUUAUCAGCUAUUAUGGCCAUAUUUUUCAAUUCAUACUGUAGGUCAUGGAAUAAUAAUAUUCAUAAUAAUGAACUAAAGCACUCUAAAAGCUUGAGUUAUUUGCUGCCUUAUUACAAAUGAAAACUCUGCCCAUGGGGAACUUAUAUUUUAGUAGGAAGGAGCAAAGAAUAAAAAAUGUAUAAAUAAAUGGUAGUAAGAAUCUAUUGGCCUACUUCUUCCGACCAUGGAGAGAAUGAACACCAACUUAGAAAGGCAUUGAAAGAAAUGAAAAAAAGAUAGAGCAUGUUUCUUGAAAUGAGUGAAUGAAUGACACAACAGGUAUAUCAUAACAUAACAUCUGGACAACAGGGAACGAGCUGACUCUCCCUGUGACUGUCCACCCUAGCGCUUCUUUUCUCAGAGCUUGUAUCACAGCUUCCCAGGAACACCCUUGCCUGCAUCUGGUUUAGACGGGCUUGAUUCCCACCCUGAGCUGUUUUCUCUCCCUUAGCCUGAACACAGAUUCUCUAAUUAUCCACAAAGGCAUUAAAACUGCAUUCGGUUUAUUUAUGCUCUCUUCUCUGUGACGGAAAGGAGACUUCCCUAUUGACUGGGAUCAUUAGAAACACCUCAGGGAGACAAGGACACAUUAUGUCCUCCUGUGUGUAAAGUGGAUUUACCGGAAGCCUCCGGGGAGCCAUGUUUAUAUGCGUAGUUCCUGUUCUAGAAGGGCAACUCUCUGCAGUGUUUAUAG
This 1201-nucleotide long non-coding RNA is filed under the name Mustela putorius furo (domestic ferret). Its description in RNAcentral is "lncRNA (ENSMPUG00000023822.1)". Lineage: Eukaryota; Metazoa; Chordata; Mammalia; Carnivora; Mustelidae. The record is from RNAcentral.